CUUACACCAGUUGGCUAUUGGCCG
RNAcentral lists this non-coding RNA (24 nucleotides) under Arabidopsis thaliana (thale cress). Lineage: Eukaryota; Viridiplantae; Streptophyta; Magnoliopsida; Brassicales; Brassicaceae. The record is from RNAcentral.